UCUGCCUUAUCGGCAAGCGGUCUUGUUAGAGUGCCCAACUUAAUGGUGGCAACUAACAACAAGGGUUGCGCUCGUUGCGGGACUUAACCCAACAUCUCACGACACGAGCUGACGACAGCCAUGCAGCACCUGUCUCGACGUCCCCGAAGGGAACUCCUACUUUCAUAGGAUAGCGUCGGAUGUCAAGCCCAGGUAAGGUUUUUCGCGUUGCAUCGAAUUGAACCACAUACUCCACCGCUUGUGCGGGCCCCCGUCAAUUUCUUUGAGUUUUAACCUUGCGGCCGUAAUACUCAGGCGGGAUACUUACCGCGUUAGCUGCGACACUGAACGGGUAGGACCGUCCAACAUCUAGUAUCCAUCGUUUACGGCGUGGACUAC
RNAcentral lists this unclassified non-coding RNA (378 nucleotides) under uncultured delta proteobacterium. RNAcentral describes it as "contains 16S-23S intergenic spacer region". The record is from RNAcentral. Lineage: Bacteria; Deltaproteobacteria.